UGCCAGAUUAACUUGUGGGUUAUCUUCUGC
RNAcentral lists this non-coding RNA (30 nucleotides) under Rattus norvegicus (Norway rat). Lineage: Eukaryota; Metazoa; Chordata; Mammalia; Rodentia; Muridae. The record is from RNAcentral.